This 523-nucleotide ribosomal RNA is filed under the name uncultured bacterium. Its description in RNAcentral is "bacterial SSU rRNA". It matches the Rfam family "Bacterial small subunit ribosomal RNA", at positions 342 to 879 of the family's 1533-position model. The record is from RNAcentral.
CGGGAGGCAGCAGUGGGGAAUAUUGGGCAAUGGAGGAAACUCUGACCCAGCAACGCCGCGUGGAGGAAGAAGGUUUUCGGAUCGUAAACUCCUGUCCUUGGAGACGAGUAGAAGACGGUAUCCAAGGAGGAAGCCCCGGCUAACUACGUGCCAGCAGCCGCGGUAAUACGUAGGGGGCAAGCGUUGUCCGGAAUAAUUGGGCGUAAAGGGCGCGUAGGCGGCUCGGUAAGUCUGGAGUGAAAGUCCUGCUUUUAAGGUGGGAAUUGCUUUGGAUACUGUCGGGCUUGAGUGCAGGAGAGGUUAGUGGAAUUCCCAGUGUAGCGGUGAAAUGCGUAGAGAUUGGGAGGAACACCAGUGGCGAAGGCGACUAACUGGACUGUAACUGACGCUGAGGCGCGAAAGUGUGGGGAGCAAACAGGAUUAGAUACCCUGGUAGUCCACACUGUAAACGAUGAAUGCUAGGUGUAGGGGGUAUCGACCCCUUCUGUGCCGCAGUCAACACAAUAAGCAUUCCGCCUGGGGA